Mustela lutreola (European mink) is the source of this 1072-nucleotide long non-coding RNA. RefSeq lists it as uncharacterized. NCBI's taxonomy places the organism in Eukaryota, Metazoa, Chordata, Mammalia, Carnivora, Mustelidae. The transcript has 2 exons. The record is from RefSeq and is a predicted model, not a curated record.
UGAGGGGGGUGAGAUAAAGAGGCAUGUUUGCUAACCCCUGUCCUAACGGGAGUGGGCGGGGUAGGACACAGGCACCUCCACAAUAGGGCCGCCAACACCCUUGGCAACUCGGUGAUUCAGACCCCGCCGAGAGUGGGCCUGGCAGGAAAGCACCCCGUGGGUUCCCUGUGACUCAGGGGAAAUGCAGAUGUCCCUGAAGAAUGACUGGCCAGGGGCCCGCUAUAACCAGCUCUAUAGCUCGUCUCCCCAAGCACCUAGAAAGUUUCCGGUCCCGGUGUAGCCCCCACCGCCACCCCCCACCCUCACCCCGGCCUUUGACGGGCGCCUCAGCUGCUUCCACCCCGCCUUACCUGGCCCUGGCAAGCCUCUUCCCCCGGCCUUCAACUCCAUAGCCCUCCCUGCCCUGCCAUGUCCCCUCGGUUACCCUUUGGCUCUGCCCAUCCUCACUAUCCACCCCCAUCCUGACGGAGCCAGCCAGAUGAUUGCAAAAGGGCUGAGCCAGCGGGAGAGGCCCUCACAUGACAGCUGUUCUUGCUGCAGAGGGGAGGGGGCAGCUGGAAGUAGAGGGAAGCACAUUCCAUGGGAGAUCCGAUCAGAAAUAGCCCCAAACCCUGACCGUCCAGCCCCUGCUCUGCGCCUGGCCUGCCCAUUGUGUAAACAAGGCUGAACCAAGUCUCAGGCGUUUCCAUUCAGGCACUGGGCUCAGUGGAUUUUAUCUGCGGCGAGGACAUGGAUGGCGCUGGAGAGUUAUCACACUAAAUGAAAUAAGUCAGAGAAAGACAAAUACGCUAUGAUGUCACUCAUAGGUAGAAUUGAAGAAACAAAUGAACAAAGGAAAAAAAGAGAGAGACAAACCAAGAAAUAGACUAACUAGAGAGAACAAACUGAUGGUUCCCCCUGCAGAGGGGGCGGGGGAGAACAGGGAAUGUGGAUGAGGGAGUGCCCUGAUGAGCACUGAGCGACGUGUGUUAGUGUGAAAUCACUCAAUGGCACACCCGAAACUAACAGAACACUGUAUGCUAACUAUACGGAAAUAAAAUAAAAGAUUUCAUCCGCAGUCAAAUGCACCUGA